This 623-nucleotide ribosomal RNA is filed under the name Dujonia railenensis. Its description in RNAcentral is "eukaryotic LSU rRNA". The stretch from base 231 to 384 matches the Rfam family "5.8S ribosomal RNA". Lineage: Eukaryota; Fungi; Ascomycota; Pichiomycetes; Serinales; Debaryomycetaceae. The record is from RNAcentral.
CAAGGUUUCCGUAGGUGAACCUGCGGAAGGAUCAUUACAGUAUUCUUUUGCCAGCGCUUAAUUGCGCGGCGAAAAACCUUACACACUAUGUUUUUUUAAUUUGAAACUAUUGCUUUGGUCUGGCUUAGAAAUAGGUUGGGCCAAAGGUUUUAUCAAAACUUCAAUAUUUAUUAUUGAAUUGUUAUUUUUAAUUUUAUGUCAAUUUGUUGAUUAAUAUCAAAAAUCUUCAAAACUUUCAACAACGGAUCUCUUGGUUCUCGCAUCGAUGAAGAACGCAGCGAAAUGCGAUAAGUAAUAUGAAUUGCAGAUUUUCGUGAAUCAUCGAAUCUUUGAACGCACAUUGCGCCCUUUGGUAUUCCAAAGGGCAUGCCUGUUUGAGCGUCAUUUCUCUCUCAAAUCUUCGGAUUUGGUUUUGAGUGAUACUCUUAGUCAGACUAAGCGUUUGCUUGAAAUGUAUUGGCAUGAGUGGUACUAGAUAGUGCUGAACUGUUUUCAAUGUAUUAGGUUUAUCCAACUCAUUGACCAGUAAAGUAUUUGUUUAUUACACAGGCUCGGCCUUACAACAACAAACAAAGUUUGACCUCAAAUCAGGUAGGACUACCCGCUGAACUUAAGCAUAUCAA